GACGAACGCUGGCGGCGUGCUUAACACAUGCAAGUCGAACGGAAAGGCCCUGCUUUUGUGGGGUGCUCGAUUGGCGAACGGGUGAGUAACACGUGAGUAACCUGCCCUUUACUUUGGGAUAACUUCAGGAAACUGGGGCUAAUACCGGAUAGGAUCUCCUGCUGCAUGGUGGGGGUUGGAAAGUUUCGGCGGUUGGGGAUGGACUCGCGGCUUAUCAGCUUGUUGGUGGGGUAGUGGCUUACCAAGGCUUUGACGGGUAGCCGGCAUGAGAGGGUGACCGGCAACAUUGGGACUGAGAUACGGCACAGAAUCCAACGGGAGGCAGCAGUGGGGAAUAUUGCACAAUGGGCGGAAGCCUGAUGCAGAAACGCAGCGUGCGGGAUGACGGCCUUCGGGUUGUAAAACGCUUUCGCAUGUGACGAAGCGUGAGUGACGGUAAUGGGUAAAGAAGCACCGGCUAACUACGUG
RNAcentral lists this ribosomal RNA (468 nucleotides) under uncultured bacterium. RNAcentral describes it as "partial 16S ribosomal RNA". It matches the Rfam family "Bacterial small subunit ribosomal RNA", at positions 28 to 507 of the family's 1533-position model. The record is from RNAcentral.